UUGGAUGUGAUGAUUACUUCCCCAGAUGAUCAAAGCUGUAAUAACUGUGCGAAAUUUGUUUCUCUUUUUUGAGAAAUCAAGCCAAAUAAUCUGAUCCAA
Molecule: small nucleolar RNA, 99 nt
Filed under: Trifolium pratense (red clover)
Lineage: Eukaryota; Viridiplantae; Streptophyta; Magnoliopsida; Fabales; Fabaceae
Description: snoRNA snoZ103
Rfam family: Small nucleolar RNA Z103
About the family: This family consists of several snoRNA Z103 sequences which are members of the C/D class of snoRNA which contain the C (UGAUGA) and D (CUGA) box motifs.
Source: RNAcentral